UAAAAAAUUUUGGCGGUAUUUUAAGCUUAUUAGAGGAAUUUGCUCUGUGAUGGACACAACGCCUUAAUCUUACUUAAUUUAGUAAUUUAAAUCAGUUUGUAUACCACUAUAUUAAUUAUAUUGAAUAGUUAUAUUUAAAAUUUUUUAAAAAAAAUAUAUUAAGUCAAGGUGCAUCUAAUAAUUAUGAAUGAAGUGAAUUACAUUAAUUUUAAUGUAAUUUUUUACAUGAAAAAAUUAAUUAGGAUUUAAUAGUAAAAUACUAAUAUUAUGAGUAUUUGAAUCAAGCUCUAAAAUAUGCACAUAUCGCCCGUCGCUCUCAGAAGUGAGAUAAGUCGUAACAAAGUAAAAAUACUGGAAAGUGUUUUUUAAAAUGAAAUCAUUCGAUGUUUCAUUUACAAUGAAAAUUUUGUUAUUUAACCAUUUUAA
RNAcentral lists this ribosomal RNA (426 nucleotides) under Ixodes scapularis (black-legged tick). RNAcentral describes it as "partial 12S ribosomal RNA". Lineage: Eukaryota; Metazoa; Arthropoda; Arachnida; Ixodida; Ixodidae. The record is from RNAcentral.